GUUGUGGAGUCGCUGUGUGUUUCGUUGAAAUUAAACUUUGUUUGGUCUUCCAAAAGAGGACAUGACUAGAAGUAGUAAAGUUGUAUUUCAACACUGUUCCAGAACAGUUCAACCCAAAUAUUCCGAUGUGUGCUGCGCAUUUUAUGGAGGAUGAGGACUGUUUCCUGAACCAGUAGCCUGCAACGUGUCUGUGGCACAACAGCUGUUUCUAUAAAGUUGGUCAGUUUAAACUUUGCAAGGACAGUCUGGCGCUUCUGACUCACAGCCUGUAGGUAACGUUACGUUUUUUAUAUUUAAAUAAUUUGUCAAUGAUGAUUCAAACGUGUGUUUUGAGCAGUGUAGAGCAGGGGCAAGAUUUGAAUAACCCUGGUGUAGACUAAGCUUGUUGUUUGUCAUUUCUCCGAUCACAAAUGCAGACAUGGUUUUAUGUUUACGCAGCGUGAUACGCAACGCGUAAAAAGACAGUAUAAGUCAUUAUAAUUAGUAAUUAUGUCCCCACCGAAUGCAGCAAAUGCUCGUUUGUAAUGGGUUUUAUUGUUUUUGUCUCGUCUAGUGAUGUCCGGAUCGAGAACGAAUCGUUCUAUUUAACCGGAUCUUCUUAGUGAACCGGUUGAACCAGUUUAAACCAGUUCAUUUGAAAUGGUUCACGUCUCCAGUACGCACUAAUCCACAAAUUACUUAAGUUAUUCGGUUUAUAAACGUGCGUUAGACUCCCUCUGAUGCGAAAUAAACCAAUAUCCCGAGUUAUUCAGUUACUCCUAACAGUACAUUGUUUUUGCUUAUUUCCAACUUUUUAAACCAAUCUAUUAUAUUAUUGUUACAUUUAAUAUUUACAUAUAAUUUCUGACUAUUAAAAAGAGCAUUUUAAAUAUAACCUAUUAAAAAGUUUUUUAUAUAUAUUAUAUAUCUUUUUAAAUGUAUUUUUCUAAUUUAAUGUUUAACAAAUUAGCAUAAUAAAUUAUAGGCAACCAUGCUAAAGUACUAUGCUACACUAUAAUCUGCAAUAUUUUUCUUCAUUUCUUUCUGCAUUGACAAUAAAAAAUGAGGAUGCCUGUUCAAAUGAGACAAACUAUUCUAUCUUAUACUAUAGACAACUGUAAUACACUAUAGCUUACUGUACUAUAAUCAAGUGACAUAUUUAGCAGGAUUAAAAAUAAAGGGAAAUAUUUU
Cyprinus carpio carpio is the source of this 1170-nucleotide long non-coding RNA. The record is from Ensembl. NCBI's taxonomy places the organism in Eukaryota, Metazoa, Chordata, Actinopteri, Cypriniformes, Cyprinidae.